AGAGUUUGAUCCUGGCUCAGAUUGAACGCUGGCGGCAUGCCUUACACAUGCAAGUCGAACGGCAGCGCGUCCUUCGGGAUGGCGGCGAGUGGCGAACGGGUGAGUAAUACAUCGGAACGUGCCCGAUCGUGGGGGAUAACGAAGCGAAAGCUUUGCUAAUACCGCAUACGAUCUACGGAUGAAAGCGGGGGAUCUUCGGACCUCGCGCGGACGGAGCGGCCGAUGGCAGAUUAGGUAGUUGGUGGGAUAAAAGCUUACCAAGCCGACGAUCUGUAGCUGGUCUGAGAGGAUGAUCAGCCACACUGGGACUGAGACACGGCCCAGACUCCUACGGGAGGCAGCAGUGGGGAAUUUUGGACAAUGGGGGCAACCCUGAUCCAGCCAUGCCGCGUGCAGGAUGAAGGCCUUCGGGUUGUAAACUGCUUUUGUACGGAACGAAAAGGUUCUCUCGAAUAAAGAGGGCUCAUGACGGUACCGUAAGAAUAAGCACCGGCUAACUACGUGCCAGCAGCCGCGGUAAUACGUAGGGUGCAAGCGUUAAUCGGAAUUACUGGGCGUAAAGCGUGCGCAGGCGGUGAUGUAAGACAGAGGUGAAAUCCCCGGGCUCAACCUGGGAACUGCCUUUGUGACUGCAUCGCUGGAGUGCGGCAGAGGGGGAUGGAAUUCCGCGUGUAGCAGUGAAAUGCGUAGAUAUGCGGAGGAACACCGA
This 709-nucleotide ribosomal RNA is filed under the name uncultured bacterium. RNAcentral describes it as "bacterial SSU rRNA". It matches the Rfam family "Bacterial small subunit ribosomal RNA", at positions 8 to 712 of the family's 1533-position model. The record is from RNAcentral.